Molecule: ribosomal RNA, 415 nt
Filed under: uncultured prokaryote
Description: bacterial SSU rRNA
Rfam family: Bacterial small subunit ribosomal RNA
Source: RNAcentral
GUGCCAGCAGCCGCGGUAAUACGUAGGGGGCGAGCGUUGUCCGAAUUUACUGGGCGUAAAGCGCGCGUAGGCGGGUUGCUAAGUUGGGGGUGAAAUCCCGAGGCUCAACCUCGGAACUGCCCCCAAAACUGGCAGCCUGGAGGUAUGGAGAGGGAAGUGGAAUUCCUGGUGUAGCGGUGAAAUGCGUAGAUAUCAGGAGGAACACCUGUGGCGAAGGCGGCUUCCUGGCCAUAUCCUGACGCUGAGGUGCGAAAGCUAGGGGAGCAAACGGGAUUAGAUACCCCGGUAGUCCUAGCCGUAAACGAUGGAUACUAGGUGUUAGAGGUAUCGACCCCUCUAGUGCCGCAGCUAACGCAUUAAGUAUCCCGCCUGGGGAGUACGACCGCAAGGUUGAAACUUAAAUGAAUUGACGGGG